GACGAACGCUGGCGGCGUGCUUAACACCUGCAAGUCGAGCGAGACCCCGCUUUCGGGUGCGUGUUCUAGCGGCGAACGGGUGAGUAACACGUGGGCAACCUGCCCUCAGCUCUGGGAUAACUCCCAGAAAUUGGGUCUAAUACCGGAUAAGACCGCUGACCGCACGGUCUGGUGGUGGAAAGAUGCAUCGGCUGGGGAUGGGACCGCGGCCUAUCAGCUUGUUGGUGGGGUAGUGGCCUACCAAGGCGACAACGGUUAGCCGGCCUGAGGGGGUGACCGGCCACACUGGGACUGAGACACGGCCCAGACUCCUACGGGAGGCAGCAGUGGGGAAUAUUGCGCAAUGGGCGAAAGCCUGACGCAGCGACGCCGCGUGGGGGAUGACGGCCUUCGGGUUGUAAACCUCUUUCAGCAGGGACGAAGCGAAAGUGACGGUACCCGCAGAAGAAGCACCGGCCAACUACGUGCCAGCCGCCGCCGUAA
Molecule: ribosomal RNA, 483 nt
Filed under: uncultured bacterium
Lineage: Bacteria
Description: partial 16S ribosomal RNA
Rfam family: Bacterial small subunit ribosomal RNA
Source: RNAcentral